UGAGGAAUAUUGGUCAAUGGGCGCAAGCCUGAACCAGCCAUCCCGCGUGCAGGAAGACGGCCCUAUGGGUUGUAAACUGCUUUUCCAGGGGGAGAAACUUGCGCACGUGUUGCGCAAUUGACGGUACCCUGGGAAUAAGCAUCGGCUAACUCCGUGCCAGCAGCCGCGGUAAUACGGAGGAUGCGAGCGUUAUCCGGAUUCAUUGGGUUUAAAGGGUGCGUAGGCGGACUAUUAAGUCAGUGGUGAAAUCCUGCAGCUUAACUGCAGAACUGCCAUUGAUACUGAUAGCCUUGAGUUUGGUUAAGGUAGGCGGAAUGUGUAAUGUAGCGGUGAAAUGCUUAGAUAUUACACAGAACACCAAUUGCGGAGGCAGCUUACUGAGCCGACACUGACGCUGUGGCACGAAAACGUGGGGAUCGAACAG
This 424-nucleotide ribosomal RNA is filed under the name uncultured bacterium. RNAcentral describes it as "bacterial SSU rRNA". It matches the Rfam family "Bacterial small subunit ribosomal RNA", at positions 355 to 775 of the family's 1533-position model. The record is from RNAcentral.